GAUGAACGCUGGCGGCGUGCCUAAUACAUGCAAGUCGAGCGAACAGAUGAGGAGCUUGCUCCUCUGACGUUAGCGGCGGACGGGUGAGUAACACGUGGAUAACCUACCUAUAAGACUGGGAUAACUUCGGGAAACCGGAGCUAAUACCGGAUAAUAUAUUGAACCGCAUGGUUCAAUAGUGAAAGACGGUUUUGCUGUCACUUAUAGAUGGAUCCGCGCCGCAUUAGCUAGUUGGUAAGGUAACGGCUUACCAAGGCAACGAUGCGUAGCCGACCUGAGAGAGUGAUCGGCCACACUGGACCUGGAACACGGUCCAGACUCCUACGGGAGGCAGCAGUAGGGAAUCUUCCGCAAUGGGCGAAAGCCUGACGGAGCAACGCCGCGUGAGUGAUGAAGGUCUUCGGAUCGUAAAACUCUGUUAUUAGGGAAGAACAAAUGUGUAAGUAACUAUGCACGUCUUGACGGUACCUAGUCAGAAAGCCACGGCUAACUACGUG
Molecule: ribosomal RNA, 497 nt
Filed under: uncultured bacterium
Lineage: Bacteria
Description: partial 16S ribosomal RNA
Rfam family: Bacterial small subunit ribosomal RNA
Source: RNAcentral